GACGAACGCUGGCGGCGUGCUUAACACAUGCAAGUCGAACGGAAAGGCCCCUUUGGGGGUACUCGAGUGGCGAACGGGUGAGUAACACGUGAGUAACCUGCCCUUGACUUCGGGAUAACUUCAGGAAACUGGGGCUAAUACCGGAUAGGAAUCCUUGCUGCAUGGUGGGGGUUGGAAAGCUUCGGCGGGUUUGGAUGGACUCGCGGCUUAUCAGCUUGUUGGUGGGGUAGUGGCUUACCAAGGCUUUGACGGGUAGCCGGCCUGAGAGGGCGACCGGCCACACUGGGACUUAGGGAAGGCCCCGGCUGCUACGGGGGGCCGAAGGGGGGAAUAUUGCACCAUGGGCGGGAGGCGGAUGCAGAAAGGCCGCGGGCGGGAAGACGGCCUUCGGGUUGAAAACCGCUUUCAGCAGGGGCGAAGCUUGUGGUGACGGUACCUGCAGAAGAAGCACCGGCUAACUACGUG
This 465-nucleotide ribosomal RNA is filed under the name uncultured bacterium. RNAcentral describes it as "partial 16S ribosomal RNA". It matches the Rfam family "Bacterial small subunit ribosomal RNA", at positions 28 to 507 of the family's 1533-position model. The record is from RNAcentral.